AGCGAACGCUGGCGGCAGGCCUAACACAUGCAAGUCGAACGAACCUUUCGGGGUUAGUGGCGGACGGGUGAGUAACACGUGGGAACGUGCCUUUAGGUUCGGAAUAACUCAGGGAAACUUGUGCUAAUACCGAAUGUGCCCUUCGGGGGAAAGAUUAAUCGCCUUUAGAUCGGCCCGCGUCUGAUUAGCUAGUUGGUUGAGGUAAUGGCUCACCAAGGCGACGAUCAGUAGCUGGUCUGAGAGGAUGAUCAGCCACAUUGGGACUGAGACACGGCCCAAACUCCUACGGGAGGCAGCAGUGGGGAAUCUUGCGAAAUGGGCGAAAGCCUGACGCAGCCAUGCCGCGUGAAUGAUGAAGGUCUUAGGAUUGUAAAAUUCUUUCACCGGGGACGAUAAUGACGGUACCCGGAGAAGAAGCCCCGGCUAACUUCGUG
This 434-nucleotide ribosomal RNA is filed under the name uncultured bacterium. RNAcentral's name for it is "partial 16S ribosomal RNA". It matches the Rfam family "Bacterial small subunit ribosomal RNA", at positions 29 to 507 of the family's 1533-position model. The record is from RNAcentral.